GUGAAUCAUCAAAUCUUUGAGCGCAAAUUGCACUCUCUGGUAUUCCGGGGAGUAUGCCUGUUUGAGGGUCGUUAGAAUAAAAAAUCGAGGCGCCGCAGUUUUUUUUAAGGGUGAUCGGGUGGGAAUUGCGCCGUCUUUCAAAUGUUAUUUUAUGUAAAAGUGGCUGAAAAUUCUUACAUCCGGUACGAUUAAAG
RNAcentral lists this unclassified non-coding RNA (194 nucleotides) under Glomeraceae sp. Its description in RNAcentral is "partial contains 5.8S ribosomal RNA and internal transcribed spacer 2". The stretch from base 1 to 71 matches the Rfam family "5.8S ribosomal RNA", at positions 84 to 154 of the family's 154-position model. Lineage: Eukaryota; Fungi; Glomeromycota; Glomeromycetes; Glomerales; Glomeraceae. The record is from RNAcentral.